ACGCCAUCAGUUACAAAUAAAUCGUGAAGUUGGUGUAAACAGAAAUCGCAUUAAAAUGUCUUGGAUUGGAAAAUUAUUAUUUUUUCUGUGCAUCUCUUUGACGAUUAUCCACGUGUCAAAUGCUGAAAUUAGUUGGUGGAAUGAUUGUCGUUGUUAUGAUCGGCUUACUGGAAGGUGUUUCAGGUGUUAAUACUGGUGAAACAGACAUCGGAACAAGAAGAUCAGUGGAUCUAUUGGGAUUUGAUGAUUCUACAAUCGGAAAAUGCUUGCCCUUGGAAGUUGGUUCAGAAAUGGAAAAUGUAGAUUUGAUAAAUGAUCUUUUGUGUAAAAUAUUCAAAUGAGUUGGAUUACAAAUUUAAAUUGAUAUAAAGCAACACUUAAGCUCAUUACAGCAGACUUUCUUUCUUGAAUAUUUUCUAUAAAUAAGUCAUUUGUGGUUCAGGGCGAAUCGCUUCAAAGGCUAUCAAUGUUUACGGACUGCAAUUAUAAUCUCUUCAUGAAAUAUAUCAAUAAAAUGUAUUAAAUAUAUAAUUGUUUCCCUUAUGGAAAUCAUGCAAUCAUCGAUGAUCAUUCAGUUACAAACAAAUCGUGAAGCUGGUGAGAACAGACAUAAGAAAAAGCUCUGAAAUCGCAUUAAAAUGUCUUGGAUUCAGAAACUAUCAUUUUCUCUAUGGAUCUUUUGGGCGACUCUACAAUUGGCAGAGCCUGUACAUAAUGACUGGCAAAGUCCAUGCCAUUAUUUUGAUAUCUAUGGAAACUGUAUCAGAAUUGGCUAAGAAUAAGUGAAAAAAAUAUUCAAAUGUGGUUUCGAAGUAAAUUUUGAAAGAAAUACAAGAAUAAUAAAUAUAUUAAAAUGAUUUUGAAAUAAUUAAAGUAUACCUUUUGUCUGAAUAUUGUUUUUAAAGAUUGUCAAUGGAGUUGAAAUAUAAUCUCUGUAAUAUAUCUCUAUAAUAUGGCCCAUAUAUAUAAGACAAUACACAAUUUAUUGUUCAUUCAGUUACAAAUCACUUUUGAAGCAACAAAUAGCCUUCUCAAGGAGAUCUUCCAAUAUCUGCACACCAUCUGAAAGUGAUCUUCCAACAUCUUUAGCCCAUCCACAGCAUCUAAGGAAGUUCCUCAACACCCGAUAGAUUUCUUCAACUGAUAAACGAUAUCUUUGAUUGAUAAAUUCUGGUAUUUUUGCUGCAUUUUGUAAUUUGUAGAUUUGUUUAAUAAUUGUCAAAAAUCUUUAGAGAAUUAAGUCCACCAUUUAUACAUGAUUAAUCCGAAAUAAAAGUUAUAUAUCUUUAAAA
Drosophila miranda is the source of this 1292-nucleotide long non-coding RNA. RefSeq lists it as uncharacterized. The record is from RefSeq and is a predicted model, not a curated record. NCBI's taxonomy places the organism in Eukaryota, Metazoa, Arthropoda, Insecta, Diptera, Drosophilidae. The transcript is spliced from 2 exons.